GACGAACGCUGGCGGCGUGCUUAACACAUGCAAGUCGAACGGAAAGGCCCUGCUUUUGUGGGGUGCUCGAGUGGCGAACGGGUGAGUAACACGUGAGUAACCUGCCCUUGACUUUGGGAUAACUUCAGGAAACUGGGGCUAAUACCGGAUAGGAGCUCCUGCUGCAUGGUGGGGGUUGGAAAGUUUCGGCGGUUGGGGAUGGACUCGCGGCUUAUCAGCUUGUUGGUGGGGUAGUGGCUUACCAAGGCUUUGACGGGUAGCCGGCCUGAGAGGGUGACCGGCCACAUUGGGACUGAGAUACGGGCCGGACUCCUACGGGAGGAAGCAGUGGGGAAUAGUGCACGAUGGGCGGAAGCCUGAAGCAGCAACGCCGCGUGCGGGAUGACGGCCUUCGGGUUGUAAACCGCUUGCGCCUGUGACGAAGCGUGAGUGACGGUAAUGGGUAAAGAAGCACCGGCUAACUACGUG
This 468-nucleotide ribosomal RNA is filed under the name uncultured bacterium. RNAcentral's name for it is "partial 16S ribosomal RNA". It matches the Rfam family "Bacterial small subunit ribosomal RNA", at positions 28 to 507 of the family's 1533-position model. The record is from RNAcentral.